This 434-nucleotide ribosomal RNA is filed under the name uncultured bacterium. RNAcentral's name for it is "partial 16S ribosomal RNA". It matches the Rfam family "Bacterial small subunit ribosomal RNA", at positions 29 to 507 of the family's 1533-position model. The record is from RNAcentral.
AGCGAACGCUGGCGGCAGGCCUAACACAUGCAAGUCGAACGAACCUUUCGGGGUUAGUGGCGGACGGGUGAGUAACACGUGGGAACGUGCCUUUAGGUUCGGAAUAACUCAGGGAAACUUGUGCUAAUACCGCAUGUGCCCUUCGGGGGAAAGAUUUAUCGCCUUUAGAGCGGCCCGCGUCUGAUUAGCUAGUUGGUUGAGGUAAUGGCUCACCAAGGCGACGAUCAGUAGCUGGUCUGAGAGGAUGAUCAGCCACAUUGGGACUGAGACACGGCCCAAACUCCUACGGGAGGGAGCAGUGGGGAAUCUUGCGCAAUGGGCGAAAGCCUGACGCAGCCAUGCGGCGUGAAUGAUGAAGGUCUUAGGAUUGUAAAAUUCUUUGAGCGGGGACGAUAAUGACGGUACCCGGAGAAGAAGCACCGGCUAACUUCGUG